This 148-nucleotide unclassified non-coding RNA is filed under the name soil metagenome. Its description in RNAcentral is "partial internal transcribed spacer 1". The record is from RNAcentral.
CCGAGUUUACAACUCCUCAAACCCCUGUGAACAUACCUAAAUGUUGCCUCGGCGGAUCAGCCGCUCCCGGUAAAACGGGACGGCCCCGCCAGAGGACCCCUAAACUCUGUUUCUAUAUGUACUUCUGAGUAAAACCAUAAAUAAAUCA